RNAcentral lists this long non-coding RNA (2328 nucleotides) under Citrus x clementina. RNAcentral's name for it is "Citrus clementina (C. clementina) long non-coding RNA (CCLE_LNC001563)". Lineage: Eukaryota; Viridiplantae; Streptophyta; Magnoliopsida; Sapindales; Rutaceae. The record is from RNAcentral.
AACAACAAGCUUUCUGUCAGGAAAAUUGGACUUUUGGAGAUUAUAAAGAAGAUAAAUCCUAAUGCCUACCAAUUAAAGCUUCCUAGUCACAACCGCGCUACAUAUGUAUUCAAUGUCAAGCAUCUUAUUCCUUGCAAAGGUGAUCAUGAUGAAGAUGUUGUUGUUGACAAUUCAAAUUUGAAGGUGAAUUCUCUCCAUUCUGGGGGAAUGAUGCAAAUUAGGAAUCCAUAUUAUAUUAGAAUAUGUUUCCUUAUUAACAAAGGUUUAAGACUUUUAUUUUCCUUUCUAGUUUAGAACUUUAUUUUCCUUUUCUUUAUGGUUAGGAUAUUUACUACUAGUAUAAAUAUCCUAACCAUAAAGAAAAGGAAAAUAAAGUUCUAAACUAGAAAGGAAAAUAAAGUUCAAUAAUAUUUCAGUUUUUGCAAAUCUCUAUGUGAGUUUUUUAGUUUAAUUAAUUCCCAGUAUUCUCGGAAUUAACGAGUCUUAGUCCCCUAAAUUUGUGGUAUUAUUUUGAAUCAAUGUGAAAUUAGUUUGUUCUUUAUUCUAGUAUUCUCUAGAAUCAACAUAAUAUUUUGAACAUGAAACUUCCGUUGCAUCAUGGAGUCUACUUAUUGGGGAAAAUAAUUUAUUUUGGAGGGAUUUUAUAUGUUGUACUCCUUUUUCCCCACUAGGUUUUUAUCUCUAUAUCUCCAAAAUUAUUUGUUUCAAGACAUCAAUGAAUAAUGUACUCAUUUUCCUUUAUUAAUUUUUUUCCCAUAAGGGUUUUUUUUAGUAAAGGUUUUAAUGAAGCGUAUUCUUUUGUAAUGAACAUUCAAGGGGGAGUGUUUUAAAUUUAUUAAAAUAAAUGUGGAUGUUUAUAACAUACAUCUCUUAGUCUCCCUACUAUCUCCCACCAGCCACAUUUGGCUUCUCUAUAACUCCUACUAUCUCACAAAGAAUUAUGAUCUAUAAUAUUUCCAUUAAUUUCAUGGAGUGAUUAUGUAACAAUAAAAAAGAGCUAAUCUUUUUGUUUUGUAUACAUUUGGAAUGAGUAAAAUCACUUUAUAUUAUAUUGCUCUCUCAUUUUACUUUUUAUCUUGUGUUGCUGGCUAAUAGUUCUUCUAAUAAUAUCUAAAUAUUAAUGGCGUAUAAUACUAUAAAUACAUACAAAAAAAUUAUAAAAAGAUCAUCACAACUCAACACUUUAGUUUAAAUUCAUUUAAGAAAUAGUUAAUCCUUAUAGAACAAGUAACAAGAAUUAUUAAAUACAUGCUAGCUUUAUGUUACCGAUCUUUAUAUAAAAAACUAUGACUAUGAAUGAGCGCCUUCGAGUCAAAAAAUCUUAUUAAGAUAUAUCCAAAUUCAAUAAUUCUUGUUACUUGUUCUUUUCAAAAGGCUUUUAUUUUAUAUAAUAACAUUGACAUUAAUUGAUUAUUUUAUUAUUUCUUAAAUAAUCCAAGCAUGUAUGUGUAGCGGGCUUUUAUGUUCUUGGAAGUUUGUGAGCAAAAAUAUUAGUGAAUGUAACGUUGGAAGUUUGUGCUUACUCAAGAUUUUUUUUCUUUGAUAAGUACUGAAGAAGAUUAUGUAAAUUGGAAAUGGAAUAUGUUGUUGAUAGUAUGUAGUAAAUAUGAUUUUUAAAAAAUUUAUUUUAAUAAAAGUAAUAAAUAUAUUAUAGGUAUCAUGCCAGUGUGGGAUAAAAGGAUAAAUUUUAAUUUACAUCUACUUAGAAUGACAAUCUUUAAUUUACAUUUCAAAAGUUUGAAAACAUCAAUUUAUCUUUAUUUAUUAUUAAGAAGACAAAAAAUAAUUAUUUAUCAACGCACCCUAUUUGUCCUCAUCUUUUGAACGAAAAUAAGAGUAAAAUGAGGGUUUCGCACUUUUAGGGGCUAAACUAAAGAUUGUCACUUUAUCAGGGGAAUGGAUUGAAGUUUAUUAGAGAAAAAAUCAAGUUAACUUGCAAAUUAAACCUCAAUAAUUAGUGUUUUCUAAACGCUUUAGUAUCAUAACUUUUAAGUUACAACUACUCAACCACCAUACCAAAUAGGGUCUAAGUUGAUAUUAAUAUUUAAAGUUUUUUUAAGGGUACAACAUCAAACAAGAAAUCUUAAGUUGAUAUGAAUUUUUAAAUUUCUUGUGUUGUGCAUUUAUAAUUGUAUAAAGUUAAUUUAUAUAAUGUUGACUUAUGAAUGCUAGCUAUCUCAAAAUGUAUUAAGGUAGCAUUUACUACUUGAAUUAGAAUUGGAAUCCCAGGGAAUGAGAAUCAUGGGAUUGGGAGUGAGAAUAAGUUGUUUACUUACAUUGUAAUGGGUGUGGGAUAGGAAUCAAAAUCCCAUAUGUAUAUUUACUUUA